AUUUUGUGAGAUUAAGUGUGAUGAUGCUGGCAUCAUUAUUCAUUAUUUAUUUUAUUUUAUUAUGAUGCCAGCAUCAUCACACCUAAUCUCC
RNAcentral lists this microRNA precursor (91 nucleotides) under Mnemiopsis leidyi (sea walnut). RNAcentral's name for it is "microRNA mir-598". Lineage: Eukaryota; Metazoa; Ctenophora; Tentaculata; Lobata; Bolinopsidae. The record is from RNAcentral.